UCCGCUGAACUGUGUCUCCUGCCUGUUUAACGUCGGGGAGAAGACACUAUAUGGCAGCGUGCUCCUCCCUCUCCCCAGCCUGGCAGCCUCAUCUGUCAACCAUUAGUUAAUCAGGGCGGGUAACGCACAAGGAGCGCAGAAAACUGGCACAGCGCGUGUGACCCAGAGGACAGCUUCACCUCUGAGAGCAGAGCAGGAGGAGGGCAAGGACCCAGGGGACCGACGGUGUCCUCCACUCUGCACUCCACUGCCAGGCUCACUCUACUCAACACUGUCUCAGGAUUGGCAGGCUGCAGUCGCGGGAUGACCCCGCCCAUUCCAUCCCAGAGGACAGACUUUUCCUGCCUCAUGAUGCCAUCUAUUUGUGAAGUGCACCAGUUCCUCCUGCAGCAAGCACCCCCACAACAUGAUGCUGCCACCCCCGUGCUUCAAGGUUGGGAUGGUGUUCUUCGGCUUGCAAGCCUCCCCCUUUUCCUCCAAACAUAACGAUGGUCAUUAUGGCCAAAGAGUUCUAUUUUUGUUUCAUCAGACCAGAGGACAUUCCUCCAAAAAUUACGAUCUUCGUCCCCAUGUGCAGUUGCAAAAUGUAGUCUGGCUUUUUUAUGGCGGUUUUGGAGCAGUGGCUUCUUCCAUGCUAAGUGGCCUUUCAGGUUGUCGAUAUAGGGCCCGUUUUACUGUGGAUAUAGAUACUUUUGUACCUGUUUCCUCCAGCAUCUUCACAAUGUCCUUUCUCCAGGAGACAGAAUACGUCUCCUUCCUGAGCGGUAUGACGGCUGCGUGGUCCCAUGGUGUUUAUACUUGCGUACUAUUGUUUGUAAAAAUUAACGCGCCACCUUCAGGCAUUUGGAAAUUGCUCCCAAGGAUGAACCAGACUUGUGGAGGUCUUGGCUGAUUUCUUUAGAUUUUUCCAUGAUGCCAAGCAAAGAAGCACUGAGUUUGAAGGUAGGCCUUGAAAUACAGGUACACCUCCAAUUGACUCAAAUGAUGUCAAUUAGCCUAUCAGAAGCUUCUAAAGCCAUGACAUUUUCUGGAAUUUUCCAAGCUGUUUAAAGGUACAGUCAACUUAGUGUAAUUGUGUAAUUGUGAUACAGUGAAUUAUAAGUUAAAUAAUCUGUCUGUAAACAAUUGUUGGAAAAAUUAAGUGUGUCAUGCACAACGUAGAUGUCCUAACCGACUUGCCAAAACUAUAGUUUGUUAACAAGAAAUGUGUGGUUGAAAAACAAGUUUUAAUGAAUCCAACCAAAGUGCAUGUAAAACUUCCGAUUUCAACUGUACCUAUUUACUGCAAUUCAAUAAAUUGUGUUCAAAUUGUGGUACAAAAUGUAAAGAUUGAAAGAGUACUUAGAAAAGGAAAUAAUGUAAUAAAACAAAUCUGUAAUAUUGGAACAGACACUGGAUCAGAUUACUGGUACUGAAGUCUUAUGCCUUCAACUUUACAGGUGGAUUUUGAAGACCACUAGUGUAAUGUUUAGUAGAGGUGGACUUAACGUGGGUUAAUAGCACCGAUAGUGGGAGCAGACUUUUCCCCCUAGUAUUUAUCCUAUAUUCCCGAGUUCUAACAAAUACCAUCUCUCAGAACAUGUGAGUGCCAGGGCUGAAUUCCUAUCACACAGUGCUCACAGUGCAACUGGAAUGGUAAUACCAAGCACAUGAUAACCAUAGUGACAGUACACUGUCUCUUCAAAAGGGGAUCAGAGCUGACAUGAACGAAGAACAAACUCACGAUUGUGUGAAGAUUGUCCAGAAUAUUACAAUCUGUUCUGGCAAACAGAUACCCAAAUACUCUUUAUAGUAAAUGGCAACAAUUUCUUGAAAAAGAUGGUCAUCUCAGCCUUAUUGAAGAUAAUCAAGGUUUAUGAUCUUCCUAACAAUGCAAUAUGUACACAUUUCCACAGGGCCAAGAAAUAUCAGUGAACAAAUACACUAAGAGAUAUUAAUACUAUGAUCUCAUUACAGCUUUGUCAGUGUCCCUGUGGGGAAAAGAAGAUGUUUGCGGAGCUCAGAGGGUAAGACAUACGCCAAUGAGCUAUCGCAGGCUGCUUUUACUGUUCAAGGUCCUGUUUUGCAGGGAAGUUUCAAAGACAGAAGUCAAAACCACACAUGUUGUCGACGUGGGAACAGCUGGUAAGGGCAGAGCGUUGUGGUGCGGAGGAAUGUUAGAGUCAUAGAUCUUUCAUCCUCACGGCCAAAAUAGCCACACACAGGCAUGAUCAUCUCCAUGCAUAGGAAGAAACACUAACCAACACAAAUACAGUCCAAUCCAACCCUGGUCAAUGCGGUCCAAAUCUUGCAUCCAGAAAUCCUUAGAUAAUUACUACAUGAGUAAGUAAGUUAUAUUUAUUCAAAUUAACUGGUAUAAACUCACAAAUAGGAUUCCUUCACAAAACAGUUGGUACAAACCAAUGACAUAAGUACAGUGGGUCAAAAAAGUAUUUAGUCAGCCACCAAUUUUGUAAGUUCUCCCACUUAAAAAAAUGAGAGGCUUGUAAUUUUCAUCAUAGGUACACUUCAACUAUGACAGACAAAAUGAGAAAAAAAUCUUGUCACAUUGUAAAAUCACAUUGUAGGAUUUUUAAUGAAUUUAUUUUCAAAUUAUGGUGGAAAAUAUGUAUUUGGUCAAUAACAAAAGUUUCUCAAUACUUUGUUAUAUACCCUUUGUUGGCAAUGACAGAGGUCAAAAGUUUUCUGUAAGUCUUCACAAGGUUUUCACACACUGUUACUGGUAUUUUGGCCCAUUCCUCCAUGCAGAUCUCCUCUAGAGCAGUGAUGUUUUGGGGCUGUUGCUGGGCAACACAGACAUUCAACUCCCUCCAAAGAUUUUCUAUUAGUUUAUUUUAAUUUUAUUUUUUUACCUUUAUUUAACCAGGCAAGUCAGUUAAGAACAAAUUCUUAUUUUCAAUGACGGCCUGGGAACAGUGGGUUAACUGCCUGUUCAGGGGCAGAAUGACAGAUUUGUAGCUUGUCAGCUCGGGGGUUUGAACUCGCAACCUUCCGGUUACUAGUCCAAUGCUCUAACCACUAGGCUACACUGCCACCCCAAGCACCCUGAGCUCUGGAGACUGGCUAGGCCACUCCAAGACCUUGAAAUGCUUCUUACGAAGCCACUCCUUCGUUGCCCGGGCGGUGUGUUUGGGAUCAUUGUCAUGCUGAAAGACCCAGCCACGUUUCAUCUUCAAUGCCCUUGCUGUUGGAAGGAGGUUUUCACUUAAAAUCUCACGAUACAUGGCCCCAUUCAUUCUUUCCUUUACACGGAUCAGUCGUCCUGGUCCCUUUUCAGAAAAACAGCCCCAAAGCAUGAUGUUUCCACCCCCAUGCUUCACAGUAGGUAUGGUGUUCUUUGGAUGCAACUCAGCAUACUUUGUCCUCCAAACACGACGAGUUGGUUUCAUCUGGUUUCAUCUGACCAUAUGACAUUCUCCCAAUCUUCUUCUGGAUCAUCCAAAUGCUCUCUAGCAAACUUCAGACGGGCCUGGACAUGUACUGGCUUAAGCAGGGGGACACGUCUGGCACUGCAGGAUUUGAGUCCCUGGCGGCGUAGUGUGUUACUGAUGGUAGGCUUUGUUACUUUGGUCCCAGCUCUCUGCAGGUCAUUCACUAGGUCCCCCCGUGUGGUUCUGGGAUUUUUGCUCACCGUUCUUGUGAUCAUUUUGACCCCACGGGGUGAGAUCUUGCAUGGAGCCCCAGAUCGAGGAAGAUU
Oncorhynchus masou masou (cherry salmon) is the source of this 3697-nucleotide long non-coding RNA. RefSeq lists it as uncharacterized. The transcript is spliced from 3 exons. The record is from RefSeq and is a predicted model, not a curated record. NCBI's taxonomy places the organism in Eukaryota, Metazoa, Chordata, Actinopteri, Salmoniformes, Salmonidae.